This 253-nucleotide ribosomal RNA is filed under the name uncultured bacterium. Its description in RNAcentral is "partial 16S ribosomal RNA". It matches the Rfam family "Bacterial small subunit ribosomal RNA", at positions 524 to 776 of the family's 1533-position model. The record is from RNAcentral.
UACGUAGGGUGCAAGCGUUAAUCGGAAUUACUGGGCGUAAAGCGUGCGCAGGCGGUUGUGUAAGUCAGAUGUGAAAUCCCCGGGCUCAACCUGGGAACUGCAUUUGUGACUGCAUCGCUGGAGUGCGGCAGAGGGGGAUGGAAUUCCGCGUGUAGCAGUGAAAUGCGUAGAUAUGCGGAGGAACACCGAUGGCGAAGGCAAUCCCCUGGGCCUGCACUGACGCUCAUGCACGAAAGCGUGGGGAGCAAACAGG